RNAcentral lists this ribosomal RNA (465 nucleotides) under uncultured bacterium. RNAcentral describes it as "partial 16S ribosomal RNA". It matches the Rfam family "Bacterial small subunit ribosomal RNA", at positions 28 to 507 of the family's 1533-position model. The record is from RNAcentral.
GACGAACGCUGGCGGCGUGCUUAACACAUGCAAGUCGAACGGAAAGGCCCUGCUUGCAGGGUACUCGAGUGGCGAACGGGUGAGUAACACGUGGGUGAUCUGCCCUGCACUUCGGGAUAAGCCUGGGAAACUGGGUCUAAUACCGGAUAGGAGCCAUUUUUAGUGUGAUGGUUGGAAAGUUUUUUCGGUGUAGGAUGAGCUCGCGGCCUAUCAGCUUGUUGGUGGGGUAAUGGCCUACCAAGGCGGCGACGGGUAGCCGGCCUGAGAGGGUGGACGGCCACAAUGGGACUGAGAUACGGCCCAGACUCCUACGGGAGGCAGCAGUGGGGAAUAUUGCACAAUGGGAGCAAGCCUGAUGCAGCGACGCCGCGUGGGGGAUGACGGCCUUCGGGUUGUAAACUCCUUUCGCUAGGGACGAAGCUUUUUGUGACGGUACCUAGAGAAGAAGCACCGGCUAACUACGUG